CCUACGGGCGGCAGCAGUGAGGAAUAUUGGUCAAUGGACGAGAGUCUGAACCAGCCAAGUAGCGUGAAGGAUGACUGCCCUAUGGGUUGUAAACUUCUUUUAUAUGGGAAUAAAAUGUUCCACGUGUGGGAUUUUGUAUGUACCAUAUGAAUAAGGAUCGGCUAACUCCGUGCCAGCAGCCGCGGUAAUACGGAGGAUCCGAGCGUUAUCCGGAUUUAUUGGGUUUAAAGGGAGCGUAGGUGGAUUGUUAAGUCAGUUGUGAAAGUUUGCGGCUCAACCGUAAAAUUGCAGUUGAAACUGGCAGUCUUGAGUACAGUAGAGGUGGGCGGAACUCGUGGUGUAGCGGUGAAAUGCUUAGAUAUCACGAAGAACUCCGAUUGCGAAGGCAGUUCACUGGACUGCAACUGACACUGAGGCUCGAAAGUGUGGGUAUCAAACAGGAUUAGAUACCCCAGUAGUC
RNAcentral lists this ribosomal RNA (460 nucleotides) under uncultured bacterium. RNAcentral's name for it is "partial 16S ribosomal RNA". It matches the Rfam family "Bacterial small subunit ribosomal RNA", at positions 338 to 795 of the family's 1533-position model. The record is from RNAcentral.